ACAGUAAUCUUCCAAUAGGUCUAGCAUGUGCUGAAACUGUGUGUUGUGUGUACAAUGUUCUCAUAUACACACAGUUUCAGCACAUGCUGGAUCUACUUGAAGACUACUGU
This is a microRNA precursor of Arabidopsis lyrata subsp. lyrata, 110 nucleotides long. It matches the Rfam family "MIR862 microRNA precursor family". The record is from Rfam. Lineage: Eukaryota; Viridiplantae; Streptophyta; Magnoliopsida; Brassicales; Brassicaceae.